CCUACGGGGGGCUGCAGUAAGGAAUAUUGGUCAAUGGGCGCAAGCCUGAACCAGCCAUGCCGCGUGCAGGAAGACGGCCUAUGGGUUGUAAACUGCUUUUUGGAUAUCUCAGGUACCCGAAGAAUAAGGAUCGGCUAACUCCGUGCCAGCAGCCGCGGUAAUACGGAGGAUCCAAGCGUUAUCCGGAUUUAUUGGGUUUAAAGGGUGCGUAGGCGGUUUAUUAAGUCAGUGGUGAAAGCCCGGAGCUCAACUUCGGAACUGCCAUUGAUACUGAUAGACUUGAGUACAGAUGAAGUGGGCGGAAUGUGACAAGUAGCGGUGAAAUGCUUAGAUAUGUCACAGAACACCGAUUGCGAAGGCAGCUCACUAAAGUGUACUGACGCUGAGGCACGAAAGCGUGGGGAUCAAACAGGAUUAGAUACCCUUGUAGUC
Molecule: ribosomal RNA, 432 nt
Filed under: uncultured bacterium
Lineage: Bacteria
Description: partial 16S ribosomal RNA
Rfam family: Bacterial small subunit ribosomal RNA
Source: RNAcentral